RNAcentral lists this ribosomal RNA (497 nucleotides) under uncultured bacterium. Its description in RNAcentral is "partial 16S ribosomal RNA". It matches the Rfam family "Bacterial small subunit ribosomal RNA", at positions 28 to 507 of the family's 1533-position model. The record is from RNAcentral.
GACGAACGCUGGCGGCGUGCCUAAUACAUGCAAGUUGAGCGCUGAAGGUUGGUACUUGUACCAACUGGAUGAGCAGCGAACGGGUGAGUAACGCGUGGGGAAUCUGCCUUUGAGCGGGGGACAACAUUUGGAAACGAAUGCUAAUACCGCAUAAAAACUUUAAACACAAGUUUUAAGUUUGAAAGAUGCAAUUGCAUCACUCAAAGAUGAUCCCGCGUUGUAUUAGCUAGUUGGUGAGGUAAAGGCUCACCAAGGCGAUGAUACAUAGCCGACCUGAGAGGGUGAUCGGCCACAUUGGGACUGAGACACGGCCCAAACUCCUACGGGAGGCAGCAGUAGGGGAUCUUCGGCAAUGGACGAAAGUCUGACCGAGCAACGCCGCGUGAGUGAAGAAGGUUGUCGGAUCGUAAAACUCUGUUGGUAGAGAAGAACGUUGGUGAGAGUGGAAAGCUCAUCAAGUGACGGUAACUACCCAGAAAGGGACGGCUAACUACGUG